UGUCUGGGAAACUGCCCGAUGGAGGGGGAUAACUACUGGAAACGGUAGCUAAUACCGCAUAACGUCUACGGACCAAAGAGGGGGACCUUCGGGCCUCUUGCCAUCGGAUGUGCCCAGAUGGGAUUAGCUAGUAGGUGGGGUAAAGGCUCACCUAGGCGACGAUCCCUAGCUGGUCUGAGAGGAUGACCAGCCACACUGGAACUGAGACACGGUCCAGACUCCUACGGGAGGCAGCAGUGGGGAAUAUUGCACAAUGGGCGCAAGCCUGAUGCAGCCAUGCCGCGUGUAUGAAGAAGGCCUUCGGGUUGUAAAGUACUUUCAGCGGGGAGGAAGGGAGUAAAGUUAAUACCUUUGCUCAUUGACGUUACCCG
This 371-nucleotide ribosomal RNA is filed under the name Escherichia coli. RNAcentral's name for it is "bacterial SSU rRNA". It matches the Rfam family "Bacterial small subunit ribosomal RNA", at positions 114 to 481 of the family's 1533-position model. Lineage: Bacteria; Pseudomonadati; Pseudomonadota; Gammaproteobacteria; Enterobacterales; Enterobacteriaceae. The record is from RNAcentral.